UCCACCGUAGCAUAAAAGUGCAAUGCUUUCGGUUUUUACCCGAAAUGAUAUAGGUUCGAAUCCUAUCGGUGGGA
This 74-nucleotide transfer RNA is filed under the name Ignavibacteria bacterium. RNAcentral's name for it is "tRNA-Lys". It matches the Rfam family "tRNA". Rfam says of the family: Transfer RNA (tRNA) molecules are approximately 80 nucleotides in length. Their secondary structure includes four short double-helical elements and three loops (D, anti-codon, and T loops). The record is from RNAcentral. Lineage: Bacteria; Pseudomonadati; Ignavibacteriota; Ignavibacteria. RNAcentral also lists the same sequence under 1 other name.